Molecule: ribosomal RNA, 253 nt
Filed under: uncultured bacterium
Lineage: Bacteria
Description: partial 16S ribosomal RNA
Rfam family: Bacterial small subunit ribosomal RNA
Source: RNAcentral
UACGAAGGGGGCUAGCGUUGCUCGGAAUCACUGGGCGUAAAGGGUGCGUAGGCGGGGCUUUAAGUCAGGGGUGAAAUCCUGGAGCUCAACUCCAGAACUGCCUUUGAUACUGAAGAUCUUGAGUCCGGGAGAGGUGAGUGGAACUGCGAGUGUAGAGGUGAAAUUCGUAGAUAUUCGCAAGAACACCAGUGGCGAAGGCGGCUCACUGGCCCGAUACUGACGCUGAGGCACGAAAGCGUGGGGAGCAAACAGG